This 329-nucleotide unclassified non-coding RNA is filed under the name soil metagenome. RNAcentral describes it as "partial contains 5.8S ribosomal RNA, internal transcribed spacer 2, and large subunit ribosomal RNA". The stretch from base 1 to 120 matches the Rfam family "5.8S ribosomal RNA", at positions 35 to 154 of the family's 154-position model. The record is from RNAcentral.
GAUGAAGAACGUAGCGAAAUGCGAUAAGUAAUGUGAAUUGCAGAAUUCAGUGAAUCAUCGAAUCUUUGAACGCACAUUGCGCCCCUUGGUAUUCCGAGGGGCAUGCCUGUUCGAGCGUCAUUAUAACCCCUCAAGCUCAGCUUGGUGUUGGGGCCUGCUGCACUGGCAGCCCUUAAAAUCAGUGGCGGCGCCAUCUGGCUCUAAGCGUAGUAAUUCUUCUCGCUAUGGAGUCCUGGUGGAUGCUUGCCAUCAACCCCCAAUUUUUCUAUGGUUGACCUCGGAUCAGGUAGGGAUACCCGCUGAACUUAAGCAUAGCAAUAAGCGGAGGA